UGCGGAGGGAUCAUUACCGAGUUUACAACUCCCAAACCCCUGUGAACAUACCUAUACGUUGCCUCGGCGGAUCAGCCCGCGCCCCGUAAAAAGGGACGGCCCGCCCGAGGACCCCUAAACUCUGUUUUUAGUGGAACUUCUGAGUAAAACAAACAAAUAAAUCAAAACUUUCAACAACGGAUCUCUUGGUUCUGGCAUCGAUGAAGAACGCAGCAAAAUGCGAUAAGUAAUGUGAAUUGCAGAAUUCAGUGAAUCAUCGAAUCUUUGAACGCACAUUGCGCCCGCCAGUAUUCUGGCGGGCAUGCCUGUUCGAGCGUCAUUUCAACCCUCAAGCUCAGCUUGGUGUUGGGACUCGCGGUAACCCGCGUUCCCCAAAUCGAUUGGCGGUCACGUCGAGCUUCCAUAGCGUAGUAAUCAUACACCUCGUUACUGGUAAUCGUCGCGGCCACGCCGUAAAACCCCAACUUCUGAAUGUUGACCUCGGAUCAGGUAGGAA
This 496-nucleotide small RNA is filed under the name Fusarium sp. LAEE13. Its description in RNAcentral is "eukaryotic LSU rRNA". The stretch from base 166 to 319 matches the Rfam family "5.8S ribosomal RNA". Lineage: Eukaryota; Fungi; Ascomycota; Sordariomycetes; Hypocreales; Nectriaceae. The record is from RNAcentral.